UACGAAGGGGGCUAGCGUUGCUCGGAAUUACUGGGCGUAAAGCGCACGUAGGCGGCUUUCUAAGUCGGGGGUGAAAUCCUGGAGCUCAACUCCAGAACUGCCUUCGAUACUGGAAAGCUCGAGUCCGGGAGAGGAGAGUGGAAUUCCCGGUGUAGCGGUGAAAUGCGCAGAUAUCGGGAAGAACACCCGUGGCGAAGGCGGCUCUCUGGAACGCAACUGACGCUGAGACGCGAAAGCGUGGGGAGCAAACAGG
RNAcentral lists this ribosomal RNA (253 nucleotides) under uncultured bacterium. Its description in RNAcentral is "partial 16S ribosomal RNA". It matches the Rfam family "Bacterial small subunit ribosomal RNA", at positions 524 to 776 of the family's 1533-position model. The record is from RNAcentral.